CACCUGGGGAGUGCGGCCGCAAGGUUAAAACUCAAAUGAAUUGACGGGGGCCCGCACAAGCGGUGGAGCAUGUGGUUUAAUUCGACGCAACGCGAAGAACCUUACCUGGCCUUGACAUGCAGAGAACUUUCCAGAGAUGGAUUGGUGCCUUCGGGAACUCUGACACAGGUGCUGCAUGGCCGUCGUCAGCUCGUGUCGUGAGAUGUUGGGUUAAGUCCCGUAACGAGCGCAACCCCUAUCCCUAGUUGCUAGCAGUUCGGCUGAGAACUCUAGGGAGACUGCCGGUGACAAACCGGAGGAAGGUGGGGAUGACGUCAGGUCAUCAUGGCCCUUACGGCCAGGGCUACACACGUGCUACAAUGGCGCGCACAGAGGGCUGCAAACCCGCGAGGGGGAGCCAAUCUCACAAAUCGCGUCGUAGUCCGGAUCGCAGACUGCAACUCGACUGCGUGAAGUCGGAAUCGCUAGUAAUCGUGAAUCAGAAUGUCACGGUGAAUACGUUCCCGGGCCUUGUACACACCGCCCGUCACACCAUGGGAGUGGAUUGCACCAGAAGUGGUUAGUCUAACCUUCGGGAGGACGAUCACCACGGUGUGGCUCAUGACUGGGGUGAAGUCGUAACAAGGUAACCGCA
Molecule: ribosomal RNA, 634 nt
Filed under: uncultured Marinobacter sp.
Lineage: Bacteria; Pseudomonadati; Pseudomonadota; Gammaproteobacteria; Pseudomonadales; Marinobacteraceae
Description: bacterial SSU rRNA
Rfam family: Bacterial small subunit ribosomal RNA
Source: RNAcentral